AGCUAAAGACAACUAAGCACUACUAGAGCCAUCUUAUGGAAAUAAACAUUUUGGCCAACCUAGUAUAAAUAAUUAGUUAUUAAAUAUUACUCAACUAUAACCCUCUAGCACCUUAGGGCUACUUGGAAUUGAAUAGUUAAUUUGUAGUUGAAUUAUUGAAUCAGACCCUAUGCUGGGCCAAGAGACUUUGUUAAAAUUAAGUCAGUACUCUUUUUGCUUAUGUCUGCCAUCUAACCCAACCAUAGUCACCUCUUCUAGCUAAAAAGGAAGCGAAAGGAUAGAUACUGGAUACCUGCCUUCCUACCAUAACUCUACAAAAGCCCAAUAAAUGUAGGGAGUGUACUGGAAAAAAGUGAUUCAUGAUUAUUUUUCUUCCUCUGUUAUUUUAUUUUUAGAAAGUAAUGUUGUAGGAGAAAACAACAAGAUAAAUAUGUUGGAAUAACAAAUGUAUUGGAAUUUUCUCUUGGGUUUAUAGUUAAUAAUUACCCAGACUAUAAAUAAGUAUCAUACCCAAUAUUUUUCUAACACCUUUAAAUUAAUCCAUACUGUUGGCUACCCUCACCUGCUGCCCUCACUAUUAUUAACAGGAAGUGUAGUCUUUUGGGAGUCAGGACUCCAGUCUCCUCUGCUGACUCAGUCUGUGAGCAUGGGUAAGUCUCAGACGCUCUCUGUGUCACGGUAUGCUUAUUGUAAUAUCCAUGUGGUAGCUUUCAGCCCAUGUGUCUUUCUCUGGCUGCCCUCCCUCAUUACAUUGUGUGUCCUUAUAUCUCAUCACUUUUGCCUUGUGCUCUGCAUUGGGCAGCAGAAAUGGAAAGAACGGAAGAUAACUUCUGUCUCAGUUAACUGAUGGAAUUUGCCAUAGACAGAAAUCAGUCAUGUCACUGUUUAAUACAUUCCUCAUAGGUAUAUUAUUAAACACACAUGCAAGCUUGCGUGAUUAGUCAGACUUUCCACCAUAUUGAAGAGGAAAGAAAAAUUGAGUUAUUCUAAAAAAUAAUGUAUCUAUUAUGCAAUAUUUAAAUUUAGAAUUGCAAUAUUUUUCUAUUUAUGGUUUUCAAGGGUUGGCAGGUAUGUGUUAACGUUUUUAUAAUAGCAUUCAGCUAUCAGUUAAAAGACAGUUAGCUUUUUCUUUUGAGGUCACAUUAUUCAUAUUCUUUUCUUUUUAUAUAUGUUGUUACUUUCAUUAAGAAAAUGUUAAUAGUUGGGUGUCUGCUUCACCAAUUUAAAUUUUUGACAUAUGACCUCUGUUUAAUAAAGGUGUAACAAGAAAAGCAAAAAGUCUGAUUCACAACUUGCCAUUGGUUCUUGUAGGCUAAGUUUAAAAACUAACAAAUGUUAGAAUUUGUCAGCACUGUUCAGAUUUGAGAUUUAUAGCUACAGAAUAGGAGACCCUCUUUGACAGAAGCCUUGAUCCCGACAUAUCAGUUAAGAAGUGUAUCAGUUGGAUUGCUUGAUCAAACCACAUCAUGUAUUAUAUUAAAAAAAGUUUGCCAUAUCAGAAUAUUCACCUCUCCCAAAGUAUUAAAAAAUUCAAGAGUGGAAAUAGGCAUACUUUUUAUUGUUAGAAAAGAUCUAUUGAAUGAUCAUUGCAUCUCUUACCUUAAAAUAAUUCUUAGAUUUUAAGCCUCUGAUACAAUAUAGGCAAUUCAAAAUAUACUAUAUUCUCAUAAAAAUGUUGCACACAUAGAUCUUUAAAAGUAAUUCCUUCAACUAUCUACAGAAAAUUAAUGUAGAGAUGGUUCUUGCAGAUAACUGAGAGGAAAAAAACCCAGUCUUAAAGAAAGAGAACUGCAGAGUCAAGCCUAGAGCCUGCUCCCCUGCACUAGAUGUGUGGUGUUGGGUUACACACAGCCUGUAUCUCUCAUGUGUAAAUAGGAGCCAUGUGAACUGUACCUCAUAGGUUAUUGGGAGAAUUAAAUGAAAUAAAGCAUUUAUAGUAACUAGCACAUUAGUAGUACAUGUUACAGUUACUCAGCACUGCAUGGGUGAUGUGAACAUUCCAUGAAAGAGGCAGCCUGCACUGUGGUGGAGAGCACCAGUUCUGGAGCCACUAGCCUGUGUGAGUUCGGAUUCCAGCUACAACAUCACUAGUUAUGUGAAUUCAGACAAAUUAGAUAUCUUCCCUUUGCCUCAACUCCUUAUCUGCAAAAUGGGGAUCAUACUUCUUAGAGUUGCUAUCAGGAUUAAAUUGAGUCCCUAUAAGUCAAGUAUUUAGAACAGUGUGGGCAUAUAAUUAGCACACUGUAACUAUUUUUUACUUGUGUAUAUUUCCAGAAUGCAACAUUUCAAUUCAUACUAAGUGAAUAUCAUUUUUCAGGGUUCUGCCAUGGUUGAUAACUUAGUGUUGCUUUCAGUAGUCCCAGUAAUUUUUGCUCCCAUUUUCCACAAGUAUUUCUUUUUAAAGACCUUAGAGUGACAUGCAUUUUAAAUGUCCCACUGGGUACCUUUAUGACAUUUGAAGAGCCACUUAUCUGAUGAGAGCUGAGAGGGCAAAUGUAAUAGGCACUGAUUUCCCAUGAAGUUUCUCUCUCGUUGGUAUUGCCAGUUCCCACAAUCCUAGCAUUCCCUGGGCAUCAGUCAGUGUCUACAAGAAAUGAUUUUCAAAUAUUAAAGCAUGUGAAAAGACAAACAGGCCAAAACUCAGAGCUCUCUAGGGACUAUGACCUCCAAAACAGAGUCUGUUCUGACAUUUUCACAGGCUGCUUGAGGGAAUUCCAGCAGGGUCAUUCCAUUUGGUAAACUCCUAAACAAACCCUCUGUCAUCGAGGACUAAUUUACAGAUUUUUCUCUUUAUGUGCUUGUUCUGAAGAGAUUAAGAUAGUGGAUAUGGUUGCUGAGACUCUUUUAAGGCAUUUGAUGUAUAUGAUAAGUACUAUACAGAAGACAUUUGGUAUUUUGAAGUCAUAAAACAGUUAUUUGUUGAAAAAUUUCUUAUUCUGAAUUGUCUUAAGUUCUUUUUCUUUUUGAUUUGAGGAAAUCUAUGUCAUAACCAUAUCUAAAUUAAUUUUUUCAUUAUUAACCUCCCAAAAUUGACUAAAUUCAGAAAUGAUCCCGUAUAAAACAAAUAUACAUUAAAAUAUGUAUAUUAUCACUUGUUUCACAAUGACCUUUGUUAUAUGUGAAAACAAAGAGUUCUAUUGUUGUAGAAUAUUCUAUGAAGUCUUGGUGUGAUGGCAGUUGUAUAGAUGAGGGUUUAAGGUUACCCGGGAUGGGGGCAGAUCUUAAGCUGUUUUUCAGUUAAUCUGAAUCCUCUAAAAAUAUUUUACUGUGUAUUAUUAUAUAUUUCUUUUUAAAAAAAGAAUACACUCCUAAAAAUAAAUGAGAAGGACACAACCCAAGAGAUUUGAAGCCUGGACAACUUAAGGAAAUGGGUAAUUAGGGCUUAUUUGGUUUAUAGUUGGCCUUAAAUGCCUCAGCCUCAUGGUUGUCUGAGUCUGAAGUCUUGUGAGUAGCAUGUAUGAAGUUCCAGAGGUGAAUAGUGUUCCUCAUUUGAAGAAUCAGGUUUACUGGGGAUUUUGUAUGGUUUGCUUCCUUCUUUGCAUGUUUCUUUUCAGUGACUUGUUUUAUUACAUGUAUUUUAAUAACCUGUCAGAAACCCAAGAUGUUUCAGAGAUUUCUUAGUAAAAUAAAAUGGAUACAAAUGUGAAAUGAUAAGUUGCUUUGUAAUUGAUCACAAGUAGUUAUUGAAUGUGUGAAAAAUUGUGUGGAUGUUGAGUGAUAUAUAAAAUUUAUGAUGGAAAAGAUAUAAAUGUUUAUGUUACUGUUUUCUCAGGCCAAGAAUGCAAAGGGAUAUUUAAACUAGGCAUGAUUGUAAUAUGAGAAGGUAUUACUUUUCUAACAGUCUAUUCUUCUAGCAUAAAUUUUUCUAUCCCUUGCUAUCUAUUUCUAUUAGCUAGUCUUUUCAGUUUUCAACUAAAUGGAAUUUAGUUGAAUAGCAACUCACUGAUAAACCAGUGAAAUCUCUGGUUGCAUAAUUGUGUGCUCGUUUGUUUAUUUGUGCAUAGAAGCAGAGUAGCUGAUUGAUUGAUUGCUGAGUGUUUUCUGAACUCUCAACA
This is a long non-coding RNA of Phyllostomus discolor (pale spear-nosed bat), 4055 nucleotides long. RefSeq lists it as uncharacterized. The transcript has 2 exons. NCBI's taxonomy places the organism in Eukaryota, Metazoa, Chordata, Mammalia, Chiroptera, Phyllostomidae. The record is from RefSeq and is a predicted model, not a curated record.